GUCGUGGGGCAGCACAGGUAGCAAUACUGGGUGGCGACCGGCAAACGGGUGCGGAACACGUACGCAACCUUCCUUUAAGCGGGGAAUAGCCCAGGGAAACUUGGAUUAAUACCCCAUAUUACAAUUGAGUGGCAUCACUCGAUUGUUAAAGCUCCGGCACUUAAAGAUGGGCGUGCGGCUGAUUAGGUAGUUGGCGGGGUAACGGCCCACCAAGCCGACGAUCAGUAACUGGUGUGAGAGCACGACCAGUCACACGGGCACUGAGACACGGGCCCGACUCCUACGGGAGGCAGCAGUAAGGAAUAUUGGUCAAUGGACGCAAGUCUGAACCAGCCAUGCCGCGUGGAGGAUGAAGGCCCUCUGGGUUGUAAACUUCUUUUAUUGGGGAAGAAACCGGUUUUUUCUAAAGCCGUUGACGGUACCCAUUGAAUAAGCACCGGCUAACUCCGUGCCAGCAGCCGCGGUAAUACGGAGGGUGCAAGCGUUAUCCGGAUUCACUGGGUUUAAAGGGUGCGUAGGUGGGCAGGUAAGUCAGUGGUGAAAUCUCUAAGCUUAACUUAGAAACUGCCGUUGAUACUAUCUGUCUUGAAUGUAGUGGAGGUGAGCGGAAUAUGUCAUGUAGCGGUGAAAUGCUUAGAUAUGACAUAGAACACCAAUUGCGAAGGCAGCUCGCUACACUAUAAUUGACACUGAUGCACGAAAGCGUGGGGAUCAAACA
Molecule: ribosomal RNA, 718 nt
Filed under: uncultured Bacteroidota bacterium
Lineage: Bacteria; Pseudomonadati; Bacteroidota
Description: bacterial SSU rRNA
Rfam family: Bacterial small subunit ribosomal RNA
Source: RNAcentral